This 142-nucleotide ribosomal RNA is filed under the name Klebsiella quasipneumoniae. Its description in RNAcentral is "partial 23S rRNA. Bacterial LSU". It matches the Rfam family "Bacterial large subunit ribosomal RNA", at positions 2790 to 2925 of the family's 2925-position model. Lineage: Bacteria; Pseudomonadati; Pseudomonadota; Gammaproteobacteria; Enterobacterales; Enterobacteriaceae. The record is from RNAcentral.
AAACUUGCCCCGAGAUGAUUUCUCCCUGAGACUAUAAGUCUCCUGAAGGAACGUUGAAGACGACGACGUUGAUAGGCCGGGUGUGUAAGCGCAGCGAUGCGUUGAGCUAACCGGUACUAAUGAACCGUGAGGCUUAACCUUA